Molecule: microRNA precursor, 109 nt
Organism: Sorghum bicolor (sorghum)
Lineage: Eukaryota; Viridiplantae; Streptophyta; Magnoliopsida; Poales; Poaceae
Rfam family: MIR5565 microRNA precursor family
Source: Rfam
GUUGUCGUAUUCAAUUCAAUCCAUGUGUGUUGGUGUGAAUUGGGGUGGAAUUUAGUUCAAGUUUCACUUUAAUCCACCUCAACACAUGUGGAUUGAUGUGAAUCCAACA